AUUGAACGCUGGCGGCAUGCCUUACACAUGCAAGUCGAACGGCAGCACGGGAGCAAUCCUGGUGGCGAGUGGCGAACGGGUGAGUAAUAUAUCGGAACGUGCCCAGUCGUGGGGAUAACGUAGCGAAAGCUACGCUAAUACCGCAUACGAUCUAUGGAUGAAAGCGGGGGAUCGCAAGACCUCGCGCGAUUGGAGCGGCCGAUAUCAGAUUAGGUAGUUGGUGAGGUAAAGGCUCACCAAGCCGACGAUCUGUAGCUGGUCUGAGAGGACGACCAGCCACACUGGACUGAGACACGGCCCAGACUCCUACGGGAGGCAGCAGUGGGGGAAUUUUGGACAAUGGGCGCAAGCCUGAUCCAGCAAUGCCGCGUGCAGGAUGAAGGCC
RNAcentral lists this ribosomal RNA (385 nucleotides) under uncultured bacterium. Its description in RNAcentral is "bacterial SSU rRNA". It matches the Rfam family "Bacterial small subunit ribosomal RNA", at positions 30 to 416 of the family's 1533-position model. The record is from RNAcentral.